RNAcentral lists this ribosomal RNA (2929 nucleotides) under Escherichia coli. RNAcentral's name for it is "bacterial LSU rRNA". It matches the Rfam family "Bacterial large subunit ribosomal RNA". Lineage: Bacteria; Pseudomonadati; Pseudomonadota; Gammaproteobacteria; Enterobacterales; Enterobacteriaceae. The record is from RNAcentral.
GGGUUGUGAGGUUAAGCGACUAAGCGUACACGGUGGAUGCCCUGGCAGUCAGAGGCGAUGAAGGACGUGCUAAUCUGCGAUAAGCGUCGGUAAGGUGAUAUGAACCGUUAUAACCGGCGAUUUCCGAAUGGGGAAACCCAGUGUGUUUCGACACACUAUCAUUAACUGAAUCCAUAGGUUAAUGAGGCGAACCGGGGGAACUGAAACAUCUAAGUACCCCGAGGAAAAGAAAUCAACCGAGAUUCCCCAGUAGCGGCGAGCGAACGGGGAGCAGCCCAGAGCCUGAAUCAGUGUGUGUGUUAGUGGAAGCGUCUGGAAAGGCGCGCGAUACAGGGUGACAGCCCCGUACACAAAAAUGCACAUGCUGUGAGCUCGAUGAGUAGGGCGGGACACGUGGUAUCCUGUCUGAAUAUGGGGGGACCAUCCUCCAAGGCUAAAUACUCCUGACUGACCGAUAGUGAACCAGUACCGUGAGGGAAAGGCGAAAAGAACCCCGGCGAGGGGAGUGAAAAAGAACCUGAAACCGUGUACGUACAAGCAGUGGGAGCACGCUUAGGCGUGUGACUGCGUACCUUUUGUAUAAUGGGUCAGCGACUUAUAUUCUGUAGCAAGGUUAACCGAAUAGGGGAGCCGAAGGGAAACCGAGUCUUAACUGGGCGUUAAGUUGCAGGGUAUAGACCCGAAACCCGGUGAUCUAGCCAUGGGCAGGUUGAAGGUUGGGUAACACUAACUGGAGGACCGAACCGACUAAUGUUGAAAAAUUAGCGGAUGACUUGUGGCUGGGGGUGAAAGGCCAAUCAAACCGGGAGAUAGCUGGUUCUCCCCGAAAGCUAUUUAGGUAGCGCCUCGUGAAUUCAUCUCCGGGGGUAGAGCACUGUUUCGGCAAGGGGGUCAUCCCGACUUACCAACCCGAUGCAAACUGCGAAUACCGGAGAAUGUUAUCACGGGAGACACACGGCGGGUGCUAACGUCCGUCGUGAAGAGGGAAACAACCCAGACCGCCAGCUAAGGUCCCAAAGUCAUGGUUAAGUGGGAAACGAUGUGGGAAGGCCCAGACAGCCAGGAUGUUGGCUUAGAAGCAGCCAUCAUUUAAAGAAAGCGUAAUAGCUCACUGGUCGAGUCGGCCUGCGCGGAAGAUGUAACGGGGCUAAACCAUGCACCGAAGCUGCGGCAGCGACGCUGAUGCGUUGUUGGGUAGGGGAGCGUUCUGUAAGCCUGUGAAGGUGUGCUGUGAGGCAUGCUGGAGGUAUCAGAAGUGCGAAUGCUGACAUAAGUAACGAUAAAGCGGGUGAAAAGCCCGCUCGCCGGAAGACCAAGGGUUCCUGUCCAACGUUAAUCGGGGCAGGGUGAGUCGACCCCUAAGGCGAGGCCGAAAGGCGUAGUCGAUGGGAAACAGGUUAAUAUUCCUGUACUUGGUGUUACUGCGAAGGGGGGACGGAGAAGGCUAUGUUGGCCGGGCGACGGUUGUCCCGGUUUAAGCGUGUAGGCUGGUUUUCCAGGCAAAUCCGGAAAAUCAAGGCUGAGGCGUGAUGACGAGGCACUACGGUGCUGAAGCAACAAAUGCCCUGCUUCCAGGAAAAGCCUCUAAGCAUCAGGUAACAUCAAAUCGUACCCCAAACCGACACAGGUGGUCAGGUAGAGAAUACCAAGGCGCUUGAGAGAACUCGGGUGAAGGAACUAGGCAAAAUGGUGCCGUAACUUCGGGAGAAGGCACGCUGAUAUGUAGGUGAGGUCCCUCGCGGAUGGAGCUGAAAUCAGUCGAAGAUACCAGCUGGCUGCAACUGUUUAUUAAAAACACAGCACUGUGCAAACACGAAAGUGGACGUAUACGGUGUGACGCCUGCCCGGUGCCGGAAGGUUAAUUGAUGGGGUUAGCGCAAGCGAAGCUCUUGAUCGAAGCCCCGGUAAACGGCGGCCGUAACUAUAACGGUCCUAAGGUAGCGAAAUUCCUUGUCGGGUAAGUUCCGACCUGCACGAAUGGCGUAAUGAUGGCCAGGCUGUCUCCACCCGAGACUCAGUGAAAUUGAACUCGCUGUGAAGAUGCAGUGUACCCGCGGCAAGACGGAAAGACCCCGUGAACCUUUACUAUAGCUUGACACUGAACAUUGAGCCUUGAUGUGUAGGAUAGGUGGGAGGCUUAGAAGUGUGGACGCCAGUCUGCAUGGAGCCGACCUUGAAAUACCACCCUUUAAUGUUUGAUGUUCUAACGUUGACCCGUAAUCCGGGUUGCGGACAGUGUCUGGUGGGUAGUUUGACUGGGGCGGUCUCCUCCUAAAGAGUAACGGAGGAGCACGAAGGUUGGCUAAUCCUGGUCGGACAUCAGGAGGUUAGUGCAAUGGCAUAAGCCAGCUUGACUGCGAGCGUGACGGCGCGAGCAGGUGCGAAAGCAGGUCAUAGUGAUCCGGUGGUUCUGAAUGGAAGGGCCAUCGCUCAACGGAUAAAAGGUACUCCGGGGAUAACAGGCUGAUACCGCCCAAGAGUUCAUAUCGACGGCGGUGUUUGGCACCUCGAUGUCGGCUCAUCACAUCCUGGGGCUGAAGUAGGUCCCAAGGGUAUGGCUGUUCGCCAUUUAAAGUGGUACGCGAGCUGGGUUUAGAACGUCGUGAGACAGUUCGGUCCCUAUCUGCCGUGGGCGCUGGAGAACUGAGGGGGGCUGCUCCUAGUACGAGAGGACCGGAGUGGACGCAUCACUGGUGUUCGGGUUGUCAUGCCAAUGGCACUGCCCGGUAGCUAAAUGCGGAAGAGAUAAGUGCUGAAAGCAUCUAAGCACGAAACUUGCCCCGAGAUGAGUUCUCCCUGACCCUUUAAGGGUCCUGAAGGAACGUUGAAGACGACGACGUUGAUAGGCCGGGUGUGUAAGCGCAGCGAUGCGUUGAGCUAACCGGUACUAAUGAACCGUGAGGCUUAACCUUACAACGCCGAAGCUGUU